GACGAACGCUGGCGGCGGGCUUAACACAUGCAAGUCGAACGGAAAGGCCCUGCUUUUGUGGGGUGCUCGAGUGGCGAACGGGUGAGUAACACGUGAGUAACCUGCCCUUGACUUUGGGAUAACUUCAGGAAACUGGGGCUAAUACCGGAUAGGAGCUCCUGCUGCAUGGUGGGGGUUGGAAAGUUUCGGCGGUUGGGGAUGGACUCGCGGCUUAUCAGCUUGUUGGUGGGGUAGUGGCUUACCAAGGCUUUGACGGGUAGCCGGCCUGAGAGGGUGACCGGCCACAUUGGGACUGAGAUACGGCCCAGACUCCUACGGGAGGCAGCAGUGGGGAAUAUUGCACAAUGGGAGGAAGCCUGAUGAAGCAACGCCGCGUGCGGGAUGACGGCCUUCGGGUUGUAAACCGCUUUCGCCUGUGACGAAGCGUGAGUGACGGUAAUGGGUAAAGAAGCACCGGCUAACUACGUG
This 468-nucleotide ribosomal RNA is filed under the name uncultured bacterium. RNAcentral's name for it is "partial 16S ribosomal RNA". It matches the Rfam family "Bacterial small subunit ribosomal RNA", at positions 28 to 507 of the family's 1533-position model. The record is from RNAcentral.